GGUCGUCUCGCCGGACGGCCGGACCGCGCGUUUCCCGCGCGCGCUCUGCCGCUUCGAGGCCGAGGACGGCCGC
Molecule: transfer RNA, 73 nt
Filed under: Actinomadura sp. RB99
Lineage: Bacteria; Bacillati; Actinomycetota; Actinomycetes; Streptosporangiales; Thermomonosporaceae
Description: tRNA-Gly
Source: RNAcentral